This is a non-coding RNA of Pimephales promelas (fathead minnow), 928 nucleotides long. The record is from RefSeq and is a predicted model, not a curated record. Lineage: Eukaryota; Metazoa; Chordata; Actinopteri; Cypriniformes; Leuciscidae.
AAAGGGGCUUGUGAGACCAGUGAAUCCACUUCUCCUGACAAUGCUGUAUGGCUGAAGGUCCUUAGUGUUGCCCUCUGCAUUUUACACCAGGGCGGAGCCAUGGGAACUGAAGACCAAAGUGGAGUUAGGGGGCUUGAUACCAAUGUGCAGAUGGAGGGAUAAAAGACCAAAUCAAUACCAAGCACAGGGGUCUAAAGGGAAAAAGACGGUAAGAGGAGUGAGGUGGCGAUGAAGGCUCAGAAGACAGAGCCAGUAAGAGUGAGGACAAAGGAGUUGUCGGAGGGAUGGAGCCAGCCGGACCCAGCCGAAGCUCGAGGAGGGGGUUGAGCUAGAGAAGCCAAUGAAGCCAGAAGAGGAGGUGAAGCCAGAAAACUGAAUUAAGGCUGCAGAGGGGGUGGAACCAGAGAGCUGGGUAGGACAAACGAAGACGAACGAGCCACAGAGCCGUGUAGUACCGGUGGAGAUAAAGGAGCUAGGCAGGACCAGCAGAAAUGAAGGAACCAGGGAGCCGGGCGGAACAACAUCCACUGUCACUACAACCAUUUCAUCAACUGCUUCUACAAGUGAGACACCUACACCUACUCCUUCUAAAACACGCCCUGCCACUACAAGAAGUACUUUAACUGACUCAACACCACCAACUAUAUCAUCAUCCACUGUCACUACAACCAUUUCAUCAACUGCUUCUACAAGUGAGACACCUACACCUACUCCUUCUACAACACCCCCUGCCACUACAAGAAGUACUUCAACUGACUCAACACCACCAACUAUAUCAUCAUCCACUGUCACUACAACCAUUUCAUCAACUGCUUCUACAAGUGAGACACCUACACCUACUCCUUCUAAAACACGCCCUGCCACUACAAGAAGUACUUUAACUGACUCAACACCACCAACUAUAUCAUGUGAGUAUUUUUAUUUAUAG